RNAcentral lists this long non-coding RNA (555 nucleotides) under Glycine max (soybean). RNAcentral describes it as "long non-coding RNA (GMAX_LNC000402)". The record is from RNAcentral. Lineage: Eukaryota; Viridiplantae; Streptophyta; Magnoliopsida; Fabales; Fabaceae.
UUUGCUCAGAGAUGAAGGAAAGUCUCUGAAAAUUAUCCAAUAAACAUCCUUGACCUACUCACUUCCCAUAUUAUAAAAAACACACGACCUUUCCAUCACCAAAGCCCUCACAAUAUUACUUUGGAACCACCCCUCCCUUGUAACAUCCCUCCCAACCUCACAACACCCCAAUAGAUCCUUCCACCAUUGUGAGCCAUUAUGAUUGACCUCACCAUGUAUGAAGCUAUCAAGAUCUAGAAUGCCAUAUUUUGCUAUCGGCACUUCCUCCACAGACCCUCAUGCUCACUCAACAAUCUCCAAAUCCACUUCCUCAAGAGAGUCCUAUUGAAAAUAUAUAUACAAAUUUUAAUUUUAGCCUAAGCCCUCCUUUACUUUUUGGUGAACACACAAUGUCUACUUGACCCAAGAAACUUUCUUCUCCUCAUCCUUAGCACACCCCAAGAAGUUCCUUUGUAUCCUAUUAAGGAUAUUCAAGACCUUCGAUGAGAUCUUGAAAAAAGAAAUAAAAUAAAGAGAAAGAAAUGAUAGGACUGAUUUUACAAGACUCACCCUCCC